This 74-nucleotide transfer RNA is filed under the name Pseudochlorella pringsheimii. It matches the Rfam family "tRNA". From Rfam's summary of the family: Transfer RNA (tRNA) molecules are approximately 80 nucleotides in length. The record is from Rfam by way of RNAcentral. RNAcentral also lists the same sequence under 7 other names. Lineage: Eukaryota; Viridiplantae; Chlorophyta; Trebouxiophyceae; Chlorellales; Chlorellaceae.
GGGUGUGUAGCUCAGUGGACUAGAGCACGUGGCUACGAACCACGGUGUCGGGGGUUCGAAUCCCUCCUCGCCCG